Non-coding RNA from Populus trichocarpa (black cottonwood), 143 nucleotides. The record is from Rfam. NCBI's taxonomy places the organism in Eukaryota, Viridiplantae, Streptophyta, Magnoliopsida, Malpighiales, Salicaceae.
GUGAGUUGUGUGAUUGGAAACCUUCCCGCAUGGUUUAGAGAGCACUGAAUUAGAAUGAGAGGUUCACCACCAUAUUACUGCAUGCAAUGGGAGCUCGCUUGAUUCGCAAAUUGGUCUGACUUGUAAUUCACUUCUGACUCCGU